This 231-nucleotide ribosomal RNA is filed under the name uncultured bacterium. RNAcentral describes it as "partial 16S ribosomal RNA". It matches the Rfam family "Bacterial small subunit ribosomal RNA", at positions 99 to 334 of the family's 1533-position model. The record is from RNAcentral.
CGGACGGGUGAGUAAUGUCUGGGAAACUGCCUGAUGGAGGGGGAUAACUACUGGAAACGGUAGCUAAUACCGCAUAACGUCGCAAGACCAAGAGGGGGACCUUCGGGCCUCUUGCCAUCGGAUGUGCCCAGAUGGGAUUAGCUAGUAGGUGGGGUAAAGGCUCACCUAGGCGACGAUCCCUAGCUGGUCUGAGAGGAUGACCAGCCACACUGGAACUGAGACACGGUCCAG